Molecule: ribosomal RNA, 420 nt
Filed under: uncultured beta proteobacterium
Lineage: Bacteria; Pseudomonadati; Pseudomonadota; Betaproteobacteria
Description: bacterial SSU rRNA
Rfam family: Bacterial small subunit ribosomal RNA
Source: RNAcentral
CUCAACCUGGGAACUGCAUUUGAGACUGUAUGGCUAGAGUGUGUCAGAGGGGGGUAGAAUUCCACGUGUAGCAGUGAAAUGCGUAGAUAUGUGGAGGAAUACCGAUGGCGAAGGCAGCCCCCUGGGAUAACACUGACGCUCAUGCACGAAAGCGUGGGGAGCAAACAGGAUUAGAUACCCUGGUAGUCCACGCCCUAAACGAUGUCUACUAGUUGUUGGGUCUUAAUUGACUUAGUAACGCAGCUAACGCGUGAAGUAGACCGCCUGGGGAGUACGGUCGCAAGAUUAAAACUCAAAGGAAUUGACGGGGACCCGCACAAGCGGUGGAUGAUGUGGAUUAAUUCGAUGCAACGCGAAAAACCUUACCUAGGCUCGAAGCGCAGUGGAAGUCGGCCGAAAGGUUGAUGUCCGCAAGGACCG